AUGUAUGUUACUCAUGUGCGUAGAGAUGAAAGGUUUCAAAACUUGAAGAAUCUGUGUGAGCUUUCAGUUAUGCUUGUCGAGACAAACAAGCAUGAACAAUACUAUAUUGUUUACAAGCUUCUUAAGUUGGUACUAAUUCUGCCAGUAGCUACUGCUAGUGUUGAAAGGGUGUUCUCUUCAAUGAACUAUGUGAAGAAUAAGCUAAGGAGCAAAAUGGGUGAUGAUUACUUGAACAAUUGUUUGGUUACAUUUGUUGAGAGAGAAUUCUUCAAUCAAGUAAAGGAUGAGGAUGUCAUCAAUCUCUUCCAAAAAGGCGAUCGCAAAGUUAUAUUGUAA
RNAcentral lists this ribosomal RNA (336 nucleotides) under Triticum aestivum (bread wheat). RNAcentral's name for it is "partial small subunit ribosomal RNA". The record is from RNAcentral. Lineage: Eukaryota; Viridiplantae; Streptophyta; Magnoliopsida; Poales; Poaceae.